Molecule: long non-coding RNA, 1411 nt
Organism: Bombus pascuorum
Lineage: Eukaryota; Metazoa; Arthropoda; Insecta; Hymenoptera; Apidae
Exons: 3
Source: RefSeq, a predicted model, not a curated record
AAAGUUAAAGUAAUUUCAAAGUAAUUUUUGUUACAGAGAAUAAAUAUUAUAUAUUGAAUGCUGAGAAAAGUUAUCAUUAGGGAUAUUAAAUAUUAGAGAAAAUGGAAGUAACUACAGGGAUAUUGCUUUCUCUAGUGCUUAUUCAUUAUUGUGACAUGCAGCACAAGUAUUAUCUGUUAUCCAUAGUACUAUGUCAUUGAGAAAAUUAAUUCUUUUCAUAUGUCAAGAUAAUCCAUCAACAACAGACAACAAUGAAAAGUAUAGAACAACAGUAUCAGCAACAAGUUAUAGUGACAUAUCUUUAAUUAUUUGUCGUUGGUUGUGUGAAGAUUGAAAUUGUGGUUUAUUCUAUAAAGAUUUGGAAUUAAGAGAUGAUUACAAAAGAUUACAUAUCUUUGAAAAAUAAAGUAAAACAAGUAAAAUUGCCAUCUAGAAAUAUGGCAAAGAGCUGCUUUGGAGAUUUCUUCCUAAUCUGUUCAUAUAAGAAAUAAGCACAAUAUCAGAUUUGAAAAUACAAGCAAAGGAAACAAUAUUCCUUUGAGUUCACAUAAGUACUAUAUUAUAAUGAAUGAAAAUGAUAAUACAGUACGUAUUAUAAUAACUUGUUGCUGUUCUAUAUGAUUUGAUAAUUUUCAGUGUUCUCCUGUUGAUGUUAUAGGAAAACGUAGAGAAUGAAGAAAGUGAAUAAAGGUUAUUAUCUGUUAUACAUGUAUCUUUGAAAAAUAUCAAACAUUUAGUAAUGAAAAAAUAUAUUUUACAUCAGUAGAAGUGACAUCUUUGUAUGCAAAAUGAGAUAUAGGCAUUUAUUUAAUUUGUAUAAAAUAUAUUUUUUAUCAUCUUUUAUAUUAUUUUGAAACACCAUACUUUGUCAUACCAGGCAAAAAUUAUCAUAAAGAUAACAAAUUAUUAUUCAGUGUGUUGCUCAAUAAAUGUGGUGCAAAAAGUUUAAUGAUGAUAUGUGCUGCUACAAUAAAAGAACAUUUAAUUUUAAAUCUAUAUACUAUGGUACUAAAUGCAAAAAACAGUGGAUUCUAAUUGUAUAAAAUACCAUUUAGAGACUUACCUUUAAAGUAUUUUAAUACCUAAAUAAGAAUGGGAAAAAAAUAGAUUUUGAAAAUAUUUGACAUUUAAUUUUAAUUAUACUAAAAAAUGUACAAAACAUUAGUAGAUAUUUUUCAGACUAUACAUUAUAUGAUAAUGGAAGAAAAUGUCAUAUCAAAUCAUAAAAAAAUUAAGUAUAGAAUAUAAUCUAAAAUUGUUUUCAAAUUGUAAACUACAAGUUCAACUUUAAAUUAUAAAAAUCUUAGCUUUAGAUUUGAAGAAACCUGUGCUACUACCUGAUAAUACAUGUGAGUUAUAUUACAAGAUUGCACACAUUAACAUUUGUACGAUACUUUGAUUUAAGAUUUUA